This 405-nucleotide ribosomal RNA is filed under the name uncultured bacterium. RNAcentral's name for it is "bacterial SSU rRNA". It matches the Rfam family "Bacterial small subunit ribosomal RNA", at positions 356 to 773 of the family's 1533-position model. The record is from RNAcentral.
GGGGAAUAUUGCACAAUGGGCGGAAGCCUGACGCAGCGACGCCGCGUGAGGGAUGACGGCCUUCGGGUUGUAAACCUCUUUCAGCAGGGACGAAGCGAAAGUGACGGUACCUGCAGAAGAAGCACCGGCCAACUACGUGCCAGCAGCCGCGGUAAUACGUAGGGUGCAAGCGUUGUCCGGAAUUAUUGGGCGUAAAGAGCUCGUAGGCGGUUUGUCGCGUCGGCUGUGAAAGCCCGGAGCUCAACUCCGGGUCUGCAGUCGAUACGGGCAGACUUGAGUGUUGCAGGGGAGACUGGAAUUCCUGGUGUAGCGGUGAAAUGCGCAGAUAUCAGGAGGAACACCGGUGGCGAAGGCGGGUCUCUGGGCAACAACUGACGCUGAGGAGCGAAAGCGUGGGGAGCGAAC